RNAcentral lists this long non-coding RNA (1022 nucleotides) under Pogona vitticeps (central bearded dragon). RNAcentral's name for it is "lncRNA (ENSPVIG00000020861.1)". The record is from RNAcentral. Lineage: Eukaryota; Metazoa; Chordata; Lepidosauria; Squamata; Agamidae.
GGUUGUGACCCUGCUCCUCUCUGCUCCAGCUGCCCAUAAUGUGAGCUUGAAGGCACCUGCUGGAUGAGAUCUUCAUGAGACUUUGUGACAACUGCAAGCUUUCAGAACAUUUCACAGUGUUCGCCAGAUCUCAUAAGGGACUGUAUCCAGAAUGUUGCAGAAUGUAUCCAGUAGCAGCAAGAAUGGUCCCAUUCCUGCUAGAGAAAUGUCACAUGGAAAAACAAAACUUUCUCCUCCUCCAGGUCUACUCACUCUGAAAUUUGUCUCCCUGCUUGGAGACCUGAAUUCCUUGAGACUUCACCUGCUUCUCUGACACAUGCAGGAGGAAAAUGGAUUCCAGAAUCAAGAUUCAACCAGUUUUUGACGAACUUAGGUUCACGAUUCAUGCUUCAAAAUGCAGCUUAGUUUUUUUAAUAGCAAGCUGUGGUGGUCACCAGUGCAUUUGCCCACUUUUGGCUAGUCUGUGUGCCAGUUGUGCCUGUUGCUGAGGAAUUCAGACUUGUCUAUGGGAAUGCAUGCCCAUUUCCCUCAAAACUGGGUGGUAGUAACACACUUCUCCCAUAUCAAUUUGACCAUUCCCUGAUGGGGCCCUUCUCUUAUCCAGUCGGGGCUACACCUUGUCAAAGCUAGAGGUGAACCAAUACUGCAGAAUACAUUGCCAUGUGAACUGAAGGGUGUUUCCUUCUCCCUAAAUGUCUUUAAGCAAUUGAAGAAGACAUCCAUUCAGCCAGCUUUUGCCUCUGUUUUCUUUAAACGUUGUUUUGCCUAUUGUCUUUGUUUAUCCACUUAUAAUGACUAUAUUUUUAUUAUAUUGUCUUGCUGAAUGUAUGGUUUUCUGUGGUAUUCUUUAAGGGUUCAUUUAUCUAUGAUCCAUACUUCUGUUUAUUAUUGUUUAGCAGUCUAUUUUUAGUGUAUGUAUGACUUUAUAUUUUGUCAUUUUAUACUGUUGAGAGCCACUCUGGAGUGUAAGGGCACUAAAAGGGCAAAAUAAAUAUCUUUUUAUAAAUAAAUGAAAGUAGGAU